RNAcentral lists this ribosomal RNA (301 nucleotides) under uncultured bacterium. RNAcentral describes it as "partial 16S ribosomal RNA". It matches the Rfam family "Bacterial small subunit ribosomal RNA", at positions 509 to 808 of the family's 1533-position model. The record is from RNAcentral.
CAGCAGCCGCGGUAAUACGUAGGUCCCGAGCGUUGUCCGGAUUUAUUGGGCGUAAAGCGAGCGCAGGCGGUUAGAUAAGUCUGAAGUUAAAGGCUGUGGCUUAACCAUAGUAUGCUUUGGAAACUGUUUAACUUGAGUGCAAGAGGGGAGAGUGGAAUUCCAUGUGUAGCGGUGAAAUGCGUAGAUAUAUGGAGGAACACCGGUGGCGAAAGCGGCUCUCUGGCUUGUAACUGACGCUGAGGCUCGAAAGCGUGGGGAGCAAACAGGAUUAGAUACCCCCGUAGUCCCUGUCUCUUAUACA